This 465-nucleotide ribosomal RNA is filed under the name Vreelandella stevensii. RNAcentral describes it as "partial 16S ribosomal RNA". It matches the Rfam family "Bacterial small subunit ribosomal RNA", at positions 338 to 795 of the family's 1533-position model. Lineage: Bacteria; Pseudomonadati; Pseudomonadota; Gammaproteobacteria; Oceanospirillales; Halomonadaceae. The record is from RNAcentral.
CCUACGGGAUGCUGCAGUGGGGAAUAUUGGACAAUGGGCGAAAGCCUGAUCCAGCCAUGCCGCGUGUGUGAAGAAGGCCUUCGGGUUGUAAAGCACUUUCAGUGGGGAAGAAAGCCUUGGGGCUAAUACCCUCGAGGAAGGACAUCACCCACAGAAGAAGCACCGGCUAACUCCGUGCCAGCAGCCGCGGUAAUACGGCGGGUGCGAGCGUUAAUCGGAAUUACUGGGCGUAAAGCGCGCGUAGGCGGUCUGAUAAGCCGGUUGUGAAAGCCCCGGGCUCAACCUGGGAACGGCAUCCGGAACUGUCAGGCUAGAGUGCAGGAGAGGAAGGUAGAAUUCCCGGUGUAGCGGUGAAAUGCGUAGAGAUCGGGAGGAAUACCAGUGGCGAAGGCGGCCUUCUGGACUGACACUGACGCUGAGGUGCGAAAGCGUGGGUAGCAAACAGGAUUAGAUACCCCAGUAGUC